RNAcentral lists this ribosomal RNA (468 nucleotides) under uncultured bacterium. RNAcentral's name for it is "partial 16S ribosomal RNA". It matches the Rfam family "Bacterial small subunit ribosomal RNA", at positions 28 to 507 of the family's 1533-position model. The record is from RNAcentral.
GACGAACGCUGGCGGCGUGCUUAACACAUGCAAGUCGAACGGAAAGGCCCUGCGUUUGUGGGGUUCUCGAGUGGCGAACGGGUGAGUAACACGUGAGUAACCUGCCCUUGACUUUGGGAUAACUUCAGGAAACUGGGGCUAAUACCGGAUAGGAUCUCCUGCUGCAUGGUGGGGGUUGGAAAGUUUCGGCGGUUGGGGAUGGACUCGCGGCUUAUCAGCUUGUUGGUGGGGUAGUGGCUUACCAAGGCUUUGACGGGUAGCCGGCCUGAGAGGGUGACCGGCCACAUUGGGACUGAGAUACGGACCAGACUCCUACGGGAGGCAGCAGUGGGGAAUAUUGCACAAUGGGCGGAAGCCUGAUGCAGCAACGCCGCGUGCGGGAUGACGGCCUUCGGGUUGUAAACCGCUUUAGCCUGUGACGAAGCGUGAGUGACGGUAAUGGGUAAAGAAGCACCGGCUAACUACGUG